Molecule: long non-coding RNA, 3394 nt
Filed under: Triticum aestivum (bread wheat)
Lineage: Eukaryota; Viridiplantae; Streptophyta; Magnoliopsida; Poales; Poaceae
Description: long non-coding RNA (TAES_LNC018777)
Source: RNAcentral
UCUCGGUGAAUAUGUCGACUUCUUGCGCUCCUAAUAUAUGCGGUUUUACUUAUGCCUGGUUUCAUAAGAGGUGUGUGAAAAUUGACUUUAUCUUUCGUCUCAUCAUGUUAGUUAUAAUUAUGGUGACCAGAUAUUCUUGGCUCUUGACAAUAAGUGACUUUGAGCUUGUUAAAUUAAACUGCUCUCUGUAGGUAAUAGUUGUAACUGGAGUAAUCAGUGUAAAGUUUGUGGUGUGCACCUCUUUUUUUCAUAAGAGCCUAUAUUUUAUAUAUAUGAAGAGUUACUGUAACAACCAUGGAACCUGAGUAUUCAGUUUGUGUACUUCCAGGGUCUACAUCUACGCCUGCUUCUCUCACCUCAUUGAACCAUUUUUUCUCUGGGCCUUCUUUAUUUAUUUGACAGAACUUUCUUUAGCAAUACACCAAUUCAGAAUAUUCGUAUAUUCUUUUCUUAGUCAUUCUCAAUUUUGCACAACUGUGAUUCUCAAGUGGUAUACUUCUAUCAGGAUUCAUCUAUGAAGCCUGAGAAAGUACGCGUUGCUGGGGGUCUCCAUGGUUGCUGCCGACCGGAUGUCACCACCGCUGCCGAUGUCGUCGUCGCCCUAACCACUGUCCCGCAACACAGGUUUGUAUGCCUCGCCCUCACCCACUGCUUCUCUCGCCUAAUUGAUUCCUUUUUCGUUGCGAUCAAGGUUCAUUAGUGUUGCACUUUCCCCUGUUACUUAGUGCUUAGGAGAAGGAGAGGCAUGGUCGUAGCCACAUAAACAGAUGAGGAAGAGGUGAGCUGCCGCUAGCCCCCAGUGGCGUGCUGCAUCUCCCAUCGGUGCUUGCGACAGGAGAACCACACCCCUGGCCUCUUCAUCUACGCCUCGGUUGUUGUCUCCCCAAGCAACGCCAAAGGCAACAAUAGCAAGGUGAGGCCCCUACCUGGAAAAUAAGGUUCAGGAGGUGUUUAUCUUGUGAUUCAGUAACUUUUCAUUUAGUGAAUGCUUUCAUAUAAUCCAACCGUUCCGACUUUAUGACAUAUUCAAGCUACACGUUUGGUUAGCCCUUUUAAUCGAGCACUGUUUGUUUUGAGUUUAAUGGGCAAUUGUAGUACUUCAUGCCAUUGUUAAAGCUCUGCACUUUAAUCACACUAAAUAUAGUUGACUAUUUUACCAGUGGUAUGUAAAUGAGACAAUCUGGAAGUUGCAGCCAUAAAUAAAAACCUAUGUUCUCUCGUUUCCUAUAUGUAUCGCUAUGUAGGUAAUUGCUUAUCUGGUACGACGAUAUCAGUCUAUGCAUGUAGCAGUCCCUUUCCCUGUCUAUGAUAUGGUUGCUCAUCUAUUAUUAUAGGAUUGAGCAAUUGUUUGAAGAGCUUCUUAAUAUUCUAAUUAAUUCAAGACGUGUGAUCGAGCUACGCAUGUGUUUAGAUCGUCUCAUCAUAUACACACGAGUAUUUCCGGACGGAGGGAGUAGUAAUUAGUACGCUUGAGGCCUUCACAUGUAAAACCAAACAAUGCAUACAUGGUUAUCUCCUUUAUUCUCUAAAUAUCUUACAAAGCCAACUAAAAUGAAAUUCAAAUAAUUCAUUUGUAAAACACAAAGUGCUGGAAGAUAUACUUAGGUUACCUAUAAUGGAGAAAACAUCGAACAUGCAUAUUAAGUCUUUACUGGGAUCAUGCCACUUCACAUCAAAAUUUAUAGGAAUAGUGUAAGUGAAGAAAGUGGGGAAAGUUGUAGCAUGAAUCUAAGACUUUGUUCAAACAAUGAAGAAAGUGGGGAAAGUUGUAGCAUGAAUCUAGGACUUAAUUCAAAGAGGAAAUAAUAUGGUGAAAGUAGUAGAGACCGGAUACCCAACCGAUCUCUUGGUUGAAAAGGGAAAUAAUGGGAAAACGCAGUACAAACUGGAUAAGGAACAGAUCUAUUAUUGGUUUAAAAAAGGAUAGAAAGUGGCGGCUGGUGUACAAGUCAACAGAGUAUGUCCAGGAUUAGAUUUGCUGCCAUCACAUAGUAAAAGGUGUUCAGGAUUAGAUUUGCUGCCUUCACAUAGUAAAAGGUCUUAGGAUUAGAUUUGCUGCCCUCACGUAGUAAAAGGUCUCAGGAUUAGAUUUGCUGCCCUCACAUAGUAAAAGGUCUUCAGGAUUAGAUUUGCUGCCCUCACAUAGUAAAAGGUCUCCACGAUUAGAUUUGCUGCCCUCAUAGAGUAAAAGGUCUCUAGAUUAGAUUUGCUGCCGUCACAUAGUACAAGGUCUCCAGGAUUAUGUUUCCUGCCGUCACAUAGCAUGAACAAACUCGGCAUCACCACUUUAUGCCUCCUUGUAGGUACAUUGUGCUGAUGCGUCCACUGUCGCAUGUCCUUAUACCAACCUUUUGUUGUUGUUAAUGUAAGGGCGCAUGUAAAAUGAAGCAAUCACAUUGUUACCUUAGGGACAUGUCGAACCAAUGUUAUUGUUAAUCUAAUGCCUCCAGUGAUAAGGUGCAAUUAAACUGUGUUACAAAUGGCACUUCUGCUGUUUUCCCCAGUAUAAUAAGUAAGUUGCUCCUUUACGCUACUGAGUGUCUUGGUGUCCCCACGGUCCCAUGCCCUUAAACCAACUCUUUAGCUGCUGUUGAUUUACUGUGUCUAGUAAACAAGCAAUUUCACCAUUACAGUAAUCCCAUAUUUGAGGAAUCUCAUUGUUGAUCAUAAUGCUUCUGGUAACAUGAAGCAUUGCUAACGUUUUAAAUUUUUUACUGUCCUUGCGUGAUUGCCAUGAACAUAAUUAAGAUGCUUCUUUUCAUUUUGUAUAUGUUUAGUAUAUUCUUAUUGACCAGCAACUGUUUACUUUUUAUCUUUUUGUGUAGAUAGGGAUAUCCAUUUCACCUUGUUGCUAUUGUGACCUUUUGGUGAACUGCAGAAAACAUUUUUUUUGGAAUGAGUGUCUUGUGCAGUUCAACUAAAAUGUCACGUGGGCAACAUCUCUCAAUUUUGGUGGAACUGCACAAAAUGGUGAUUGGAGUUUCCAAAAUCUCCGUCAAGUUCUGCUGGUAAUCUCGUGCAACAUUUUAUUAGCCUUUGCAAGAUGGAGCCGUCACUGUCACCACAAUGGCACUUUAUUUUAGUGGAACUGCACAAAAGGAUAAGAAAAUUAUAGUUGCACCUUACAUGAGCCGGACAGCCAACCUUAAUGUUCCUCAAUUUUAGUGCAACUACUAAAGAAGAACCUGCCAGCUCACAAGAGCAAGUACUUCUUGCUAGCUGAAUGAUGCAAUCUUUGCUUCAUUUUAGGUGAACUGCAGAAAAAGGCGCAUGAAUUGAACCAUGGAACUCCAGGCAGACCUCAUCCAAGUAGAGCUGGAGGUUGAGUUCAAGGAGGCCGCUAUUAAAGUGAAAUCAUGCUCUCCUGUCUCCUUGUUUGUGCUGUGCAAACAUG